UGUAGACAUGACCCACGGAGGAGGUGGAUGUUGUCAUUUAUAUGGUCUCACUUACAAUGGUGGCUAUCAAUGGACUUUUAAACAGGUUUCCUGGCCUGAGAAACAGCUUAUCCCUUAAGCAACAAGGGAAAUACCAGAAAUGGCAAAUCUGGGGCAAAAGAAAGGACACAAAGGUUCAAGCGGUGUCAGAUGGAGAGCUGAACAUGUCUGCACGAGGCAGCGGAGGCAGCAGUUCCAGCCUUCCUGGGACCCCGGGAGGCGAUGUAAACCCUGCCAACAGCGUCCUGAGCUGGGCUGUGUCCUUUGAGAAGCUGUUGGAAGACCCCUGUGGCGUUGGUUACUUUACGGCCUUUUUAACGUCAGAAGUCAGUGCAGAAAACAUCUUAUUCUGGAAAGAAUGUGAAAAGUUCAGGAAAAUACCAGCCACCUCUCUGGAUCAGUUAAAAGCAGCAGCUCGCUUUAUCUAUGACACCUAUGUGUCUGACACCGCUCCCUACUGUGUGAACAUCGAUGACACUGCCAAGACGGAGGAGAAGGACCUGGAGAAUCCCACUCCUGAGAUGUUCAACAAAGCUCAGGCCCAGAUCUUCAAAUUGAUGAAGAUGGACAGCUACCGGCGCUUUGUACGCUCUCCUCUCUACCAGCGCUGCACUUUGGCCAGUGUAGAAGGGAAACAUUUACCUCAGAUCUCGAAGGAGCCGGUCCGCAUAGGUUCCUGGGAGGACAUGUUCAACAGGAGUUCCCCGAGAGACAAUAAGGACAAGUCCGACUCGAAUAGCCUGCCAGGUGCUAAAAGUGAGAAACGACAUAAAAGAGGAUCCUGGGGAGAUGCAUCAAAUGGCCAAGGCUCAGUUUUCGUGAAGGGCUCAAACAUGUCUACCAAAUCAACCAGCAGUGUGGAGCUUGGCUCCCUCUGCAGACAGAUGGAGAACGGUCGGCCCAGUUCCAGCAACCGUGAUCAAGGAGCUGCCAUUGGGAGUCGUCUGGGGAUGGAGGGAGGAUACUGCUGUGUCUACCUGCCUGAUGGCAGUGCCUCUCUGGCCCCUACCCCUAACGGCCAGCCAAUCAAGGACAUGCUGGCUAGCCUGUGUGAGAAACGGGGCUUUCCAUUAAAAGAUGUCAUCAUUUACCUUCAUGGCAAGGAGAAGCCCUUAUCGUUGGAGCAGGACUGCUCUGUGCUGAGGGAUCAGCAGGUCUCUCUCGAGCUCAGGGUGAUGUUUACGCUGGAGAAUGCCUUCACUGGUAAGACAGUGGCAAUCAUGGUGAAGUCCAGUAAGACGCUGCAGGACGCCCUUUCUGCAGUGCUGCAGAAACACCACCUAAAGCCCCAAGAAGCUGUGGUCACCAUGGUUGGAAGUGACGAGCCUGUGAACCUGAGCUGCUCCGUCUACAGGCUGGCCAAUAAGAUGCUACGGUUGGACAAAGCCAAAGGUAAAGAUCAGAGCAUCAUUCCAAGAGGGGGUGGUUCUUCUCCCCAUACACAGGCAGGAGCAGUAAGUGCAUCUCUGGAGCCUCGAUCAUCAGCACAACCUGAGAGAGUCAGGACACCACACAGACCCAGGUUUCUGGAUAUGCUGACAAAAGCUCAGUGCUGCAGAGUAGAUGACCAGAGAGGCCUUCUGACCAAAGACCAGCUAGAGAUCCCCUUAUUUCUGCAGCGUCCUUCAGACCAGAGACAGAAUACAGACAAUCCCUCUACAACCAGCUCUUUCAGUGCUGACUCGAAAACUGAAUCGGAGGACAAAGAAAUCUCUUCUGCUGUAGCCAAGAAACCUGAGGAAAGUUCUGUGGCUCCUAAAUCUGGAUCUAAAGACUUAAGGGAAACAAAGGUUUGAUGGAAAGCUGUGUUGAAAUACAAUAAUAAGCCUUAAAACCCAAUGAACAGAACAAAAAUGUGACAUUAUUUACAUAAAAAGAUAUUGUUGGUGUAAAUGCACUUUUUUAGUAAAUAAGCUUGGUCAGCAGUAUAUAUAUAUUAUUUUUUUGGGGCCUCAGUAUUUGAUCAAAUGGCCUGUUAAAGAAAAGUUUAGUUAGGAAUAAAAUAUAUGGAAAACAUUUGUGUAAUUUAUGAAACACUACAGAUCCCGAUUUGAGAAUGUGUAUAAAUUUGUACUGUACCCUGUAUAAAACAUUCUAUCUUAAUAUUGAAUUCUGGAACAUGUUAUUGAUGUAGCAAGUCAGUCAAACCUGCAGUCGUUGUUGUAUGUUAAAUCUAAAGCAUAACCGUGUCUUCAAAGUAAACAUUUGUUCUGUACAGCCCUCGAAAACAAAUUUGCAUGACUUUGCUUUAUGGUUAAAUGUUAUAUGAAGAGUAGCUUAAAUUACUUGAAAUUGUUUGAAUUUUUGUGUGCACUUUUUUUGUUUUGUUUUUUUCCAUGCAUGUUUUGCAUGCUAUGCUGUGAUAGCACUUUGAAGCUCUGAUCAUGUCCUGUUUCCAGAAAUCCUUGACUGCAUUUCAGGGUCCAAGUGAUUAACCAUUUGCUCGUUAUGAGGGUAUCUGAUCCAGUGUUAUUGUAAUAUUCAAUGAAGUGUAUCUGACGGUUUCCAUACUUGGAUCUGAUUGUUCAUUUCUUGCAUGGAAUGAGUGUAAACUGAGCUUUUAAGCCUCAGUGAUUGGUUUUAUUAUUUUUUUUAAAUCAGAUCAAUUUCUGCCUGAAGUAAUGAUCUGGAUUAAAUUAUACAAUUAGUGCCCUGUAAGAUCUGUGAGGCUCAGAGUGAUUGUGAGUCAUGCACAACAACAUAAUUAGGAAGAGUUUGAUUAAAUUUCUGUUUAUUUUACUGAUAAAAGAAAUCUAAUGCUUUUAUGUAAUUUAAUUCUUGUCCAGCAAUGAGGAUAUUUAGUAGUUAUUGGUUGCUUAAAUAAGUUUUUAUCCAAGGAAAGUGGUUAAUAUUUCCUCAGACCUGUUGCUGAAAGGUGAUUUGCAGUUUUUCCUCGAUGGCGAGGCAUUACACCAACCUAUUAGAUGAGUCAUGGAUGAUCUCAUCCCCUUGGAUGACGCAAGCAGUUUAUACAUUUCAUAGUAUGUGGCAGUACAUAGUUUGGAAUGAAUCCCACCUACUAUACCUUGCUUGAUUGUUGUUUACAUGGCAUUAUCAUGGGUCUAGUUAAGCAUUAGAGAAUGAAUGGCACAACAUUAAUAUGCAAAGUAUUCAGACACAGAUGACUAGUAGCAUAUCUGGCAUUUGCGCGUUUCUAUGCAUGCACGUCUCCAGUCGUGCGUUAGUGGUGCGUCGGAGGAGGUAUGAAUGGGCAGAGAGGGGUGUUCUCUCUCACACACCGUCACAGCUCUGGGAUGAGGAGUGCCAUCUACUCCACUACACGUCUGCUGUGCUGCUGAAAGAAGACGAACAGGGAAGUAAAGGAGCUUUACAGCGUGACAUCAAGAAAUUUCAAAAGGACAAGUUAACCUAUCCUGAAGUUGCUUUAUCAGUGACCUAAGAACAUCUUCAAAUCAGCCAUGGAGCAGAAGACAAAUGAGUGUCACACCUCCACCUCUCUGCAGAAGCACAUGAAGAACAGGUCUAAAUCCACAGAGGAGACACAACAGUCCAGGAAGGCAUUCUCCUCACAAAAGUCACUGCCAGGCAGGCCAGAUCUGGACAAAGUGAAGGAGAGUCCCGAAGGCCCUGACACACUUUCCUCCUCCACAGAAGAGUUAAAGUGACAUAAAAAAUCACCUUAAAGCCACUAAAUAACUCAUAGAAAAUGUACAUAUGUUAACAAAAAAAAAAAAAAAAAAAAGAAUCUUUAUGAUCCAUUUAAGCUGUGGAUACAAUGCUGAAACAACCGGCAUGAAACAAACUUCCAUUUGAUGAAGCUGUGUCAUUGUGCUGUGACUUGUAAAACUGUUUAGUAAUAGUAAAGUGAUGUUGUAUAACUGCA
Molecule: RNA transcript, 3883 nt
Organism: Cyprinodon tularosa
Lineage: Eukaryota; Metazoa; Chordata; Actinopteri; Cyprinodontiformes; Cyprinodontidae
Gene name: regulator of G-protein signaling 14-like
Exons: 19
Source: RefSeq, a predicted model, not a curated record